RNAcentral lists this ribosomal RNA (207 nucleotides) under uncultured bacterium. RNAcentral describes it as "partial 16S ribosomal RNA". It matches the Rfam family "Bacterial small subunit ribosomal RNA", at positions 568 to 774 of the family's 1533-position model. The record is from RNAcentral.
CGUGCAGGCGGUCUGUUAAGUUCAGGGUGAAAGCUCCCGGCUCAACUGGGAGAGGUCCUUGGAUACUGGCAGACUUGAGGGAGGUAGAGGAGAGUGGAAUUCCCGGUGUAGUGGUGAUAUGCGUAGAUAUCGGGAGGAACACCAGUGGCGAAGGCGGCUCUCUGGGCCUUUCCUGACGCUGAGACGCGAAAGCGUGGGGAGCGAACC